Molecule: unclassified non-coding RNA, 267 nt
Filed under: Hevea brasiliensis (rubber tree)
Lineage: Eukaryota; Viridiplantae; Streptophyta; Magnoliopsida; Malpighiales; Euphorbiaceae
Source: RNAcentral
CUGAAACUCUAAAACAGAUAUGCAAAUGGGCUAGCUUCCUGAACAUGUUCACGGUCAAUAAAUCUACAAGAGAAUAUAUUUUUUAAAAGCUGGUAAAAGGGUAUUAUAUAUAGUGGAGUAUAUAUCAUGAAAUGCAAGGAAUAUAUAUUAAAUUAAGGAGGAAUAUGCAAAUUGGCUUUUUUCCCCUCUCUUUAUGAUUUUGUAUUGAUGGUUAUUCUGUUGGUUGUUGAUUCUCACCCUCUUGUUGUUUUUUUUUUUUUUUUUUUU